RNAcentral lists this long non-coding RNA (1529 nucleotides) under Citrus sinensis (sweet orange). RNAcentral's name for it is "long non-coding RNA (CSIN_LNC002703)". The record is from RNAcentral. Lineage: Eukaryota; Viridiplantae; Streptophyta; Magnoliopsida; Sapindales; Rutaceae.
AAUAAACAGCUACGAGAAGAUGAAGAAAAUGUUCCCAAUUAUUUCACCAACAUAAUUAUAAAAUAUAUUAUAAUAAGAAGCAUCCUCGACAUUAAUUAACAAUAAUCCAGCAUCUAGAUGCAGAGAAACUCCCGAUUUUAUAUUGACUAGUCAUCGUUGUUGACUAACAACGAUUCCACAAACCAACAUUGGCCUCCAAACAGAAAUACCAAGAACCAACGUGUCUAAAAUUAUUUUGUAAUCUUAAAAGUCAGAACCCGCCUGUUGACUACCGUUUUCUCGUAAAUCGUUUCUGUUAAAUAGCCCCCCCACUCCCUCUCUGAUUCUCUCAUCUUGUCGUACUUUUCUGAAAACAUCCCAUGGUUUCGGAAACCUUUCUUUUUUCCGGACAUUCAUUCGUUCGUUCAAACUAAUUAAGCUGUUUUGCAAAGUUUUCAUUUUCAUUUAUUUCUUAAUUAUUUAUUUUAUAUUUCUGUAAAGAGUUAUAGCAAGAAGAAAAAGGAAAAAAGAUCUAAGAAAAAGGUCGGUUAAGAUUUGAUUAAACUCAGCAACAUGAGUAUUAGAGUGGCAGAUGAUCUAGCAAGAUCAUUUUCCGUGAGAGGGGGGCAGAGCAUAUCAUCGGGUAGCCAAAAACAAACAUAUUAUUCAGAUUUAGACAUUCAGAUCUAUUCAGAAUUCAGACUAAUUCAGGUCUAUUCAGAUUUCAGACAAAAACAACAAACGCCACCUUAGUCAAGGACUUAAAAAAAUAUAAAUGUGCUCAAGACUUGAGGAGGACUUAUGUGAUACAUUUUUGAAAUGUUGGCUCUUGGAGUUCCUUUAUAUAAACGACAAGGAGUUAAGUGAUAAAUAUCCUUACCGGUGUUGCAGCCAAAAUAGCUGAAGUCAGACCAUACCAUGUUAAUCGUCUACUUGUCAAACAUGGAAAUUUCAAGGCUUCUCGAAGAGGCUGCUCAAAAAGGGUAAAAGAAUAAAUGAAUAAAUAAAUAAACAGCUACGAGAAGAUGAAGAAAAUGUUCCCAAUUAUUUCACCAACAUAAUUAUAAAAUAUAUUAUAAUAAGAAGCAUCCUCGACAUUAAUUAACAAUAAUCCAGCAUCUAGAUGCAGAGAAACUCCCGAUUUUAUAUUGACUAGUCAUCGUUGUUGACUAACAACGAUUCCACAAACCAACAUUGGCCUCCAAACAGAAAUACCAAGAACCAACGUGUCUAAAAUUAUUUUGUAAUCUUAAAAGUCAGAACCCGCCUGUUGACUACCGUUUUCUCGUAAAUCGUUUCUGUUAAAUAGCCCCCCCACUCCCUCUCUGAUUCUCUCAUCUUGUCGUACUUUUCUGAAAACAUCCCAUGGUUUCGGAAACCUUUCUUUUUUCCGGACAUUCAUUCGUUCGUUCAAACUAAUUAAGCUGUUUUGCAAAGUUUUCAUUUUCAUUUAUUUCUUAAUUAUUUAUUUUAUAUUUCUGUAAAGAGUUAUAGCAAGAAGAAAAAGGAAAAAAGAUCUAAGAAAAAGGUCGGUUAAGAUUUGAUUAAAC